GUCGCACGAGAAAGGGGAGCAAUCCCUGAGUAAAGUGGCGCACGGGUGAGUAACACGUGACUAAUCUACCCUCGAGUGGGGAAUAACUGAGAGAAAUCUUAGCUAAUACCGCAUAACACUUACGAGUCAAAGCAGCAAUGCGCUUGGGGAGGAGAUCGCGGCCGAUUAGCUAGUUGGCGGGGUAAUGGCCCACCAAGGCGAUGAUCGGUAUCCGGCCUGAGAGGGCGCACGGACACACUGGAACUGAAACACGGUCCAGACUCCUACGGGAGGCAGCAGUGGGGAAUUUUGCGCAAUGGGGGAAACCCUGACGCAGCAACGCCGCGUGGAGGAUGAAGUAUCUUGGUACGUAAACUCCUUUCGAUAGGGAAGAUAAUGACGGUACCUAUAGAGGAAGCCCCGGCUAACUUCGU
Molecule: ribosomal RNA, 413 nt
Filed under: uncultured soil bacterium
Lineage: Bacteria
Description: bacterial SSU rRNA
Rfam family: Bacterial small subunit ribosomal RNA
Source: RNAcentral